Long non-coding RNA from Struthio camelus australis, 974 nucleotides. The record is from Ensembl. Lineage: Eukaryota; Metazoa; Chordata; Aves; Struthioniformes; Struthionidae.
UUGCAUGAUGUUUGCACAGCGUUAGCACAGUAUUUGCACAGCAUUUGCACGGUAUUUGCACAGCAUUUGCAUGGUGUUUGCACAGCGUCUGCACGGCGUUUGCACGGGGUUUGCACAGCGUUUGCAUGGUGUUUGCACAGCAUUUGCAUGGUGUUUGCACAGCGUCUGCACGGCGUUUGCACGGGGUUUGCACAGCGUUUGCAUGAUGUUUGCACAGCGUUUGCCCGGUGUUGGCACAGCAUUUGCAUGGUCUUUGCACAGCGCCUGCUCGCUGUUUGCACAGGGCUUGCACAGCGUUUGCCCAGCGCCUGCGUGGUGUUUGCGCGGGGUCUGCACGUUUCUUGCCCAGCGCCUGCGCGGUGUUUGCGCAGCGCUCGCGGAGCCCCUGCGGCGUGUUUGCAUUGGUGCUCGCAGCGGGUGUGCAGCGCCUUUGCACAGGCGCUCGCAGUGCGCUCGCGCGGUGUCUGCAUGCCCUUUGCACAGCAUUUGCACGGCGCUUGCAGUGCAUUCGCAGUGCGAUUGCACAGUGCUUGCAGUGGGCUUGCACAGCACGUGCUGCGCAUCGGCAGCAUUUCCGCAGUGCAUUCGCAGCGUGUUUCCAGUGCAAUUGCACAACCUCGGCAGUGCAUUUGCGGUGUUUUCCCAGUGCAAUCGCACAACCCUCGCGGUGCAUUCGCAGUGUGUUUCCAGUGCAAUUGCACAACCUUUGCGGUGCAAUCGCACAACCCUCGCGGUGCAUUCACGGUGUGUUCCCAGUGCAAUCACACAACCUUCGUGGUGCAACCGCACAACCCUUGUGGUGCAUUCACGGUGUGUUCCCAGUGCAAUCGCACAACCCUCGCGGUGCAACCGCACAACCCUCGCGGUGCAUUCACGGUGUGUUCCCAGUGCAAUCGCACAACCUUCGUGGUGCAACCGCACAACCCUUGUGGUGCAUUCACGGUGUGUUCCCAGUGCAAUCGCACAACCCUCGC